Long non-coding RNA from Hippocampus zosterae (dwarf seahorse), 1238 nucleotides. RefSeq lists it as uncharacterized. NCBI's taxonomy places the organism in Eukaryota, Metazoa, Chordata, Actinopteri, Syngnathiformes, Syngnathidae. The transcript has 3 exons. The record is from RefSeq and is a predicted model, not a curated record.
GCGUUAUAAAAAAUGUGUCCUCCUGUAGGCAGCCCUCACUUGUGCAGUCUUACACCCUACGUUUGUGGGGGAUGGAGUCCGGUUUACGAGACGAUCGAGACGUGACAAGAUGACAGAAAAACACUGCAGUUGUUGGAUGUGUGUCACGGCAGUAAGAAGACAGACGCAGCACAAGUGUCCUGGUCGACACCAAUGGCGACAGCUUCUUUGGACAUUGAUUUCGGGUACGAGACGUGAUGCUCCAUGAUAGACUGGAACAACUCGUCUUCGUCUUCCCCGUCAAACGGCGGCUGAACAUCGAAGCAUCAACACACCGGAGUAUCCUCGUCAUCACGGUUUGUUCUUUGUCAAAAUAAAUUACAGCAGGGACAAUACCGACCUGCCCGGCUAGCAUUUCAUAGAGCAGCACUCCAAAGGCCCACCAGUCCACAGACUUCCCAUAAGGCUGGUAGGCUAUGAUCUGGAAUACACAGACAAAGAGAUAAGUCUCGUUUACUGUGGGGAGGAAAAAAAAAACGGGUUACGUAAACAGACCUCAGGGGCAAUGUAGUCUGGUGUUCCGCAAAACGUCUUGGUGGUCACGCCGUCAGACAUGUUCUCUUUGCACAUGCCGAAAUCGGCGAUCUUGAUGUGGCCUUCGGAGUCGAGCAUCACAUUGUCCAGCUUCAGAUCCCUACGGACACACUUGUAGGUGAUAAGUACAUACUACGGUUCGAGGAGGACUGUGAACGUACGCACCGUUCUCGGUUGACAAAAACUACUCACCGGUAGACGAUCCCUUUGGAGUGGAGGAAGAAGAGGCCUGUGGCGAUCUCCGCUGCAUAGAAUCUGGAAAAUGGAGACAGUUUGUUCCCCAAUGCUUUUGUAUUGAUACGUCGCCGCAGUGUGUGCGUCACAUGAGGAGGAUGGAGUCAUGUUUUCACCAUGUCAUACUGGUCACUUCAGGACUUGCUGGCGGCCGAGGGUUUUUGCGUGUGGUUAGGUUUCCAAUUGCCACAUACACACAGUGUAGUAAAAAAAAAAAGAAGUGUUCCCUCUUAUGAGUAAAAAUGCUCUUAUCUUUCUGUAUUGCGUGCUCCCCAUAAUUCUUCCUUGGAGUAUAUGGCGAAAGCAGUGAUGAUAUUUUAAAUUGUGAAAAAAAAGUACAAAAUGUUUAUGGGACUUGCAGUUGUUAAAGAAUCUCAAAAUGUUCCAUUUCAACAUGAGGUGUACAGUUCAUAACCGUUUGUUGAUAGCGA